Molecule: ribosomal RNA, 208 nt
Filed under: Radix sp.
Lineage: Eukaryota; Metazoa; Mollusca; Gastropoda; Lymnaeidae
Description: partial 28S ribosomal RNA
Rfam family: Eukaryotic large subunit ribosomal RNA
Source: RNAcentral
CAGGCCUGAAAAUGGAUGGUGUUCAGAGCGUCGGACCUAUACCGGGCCGACUCGGCAAUUUUCAUUGAAAACAAGCCGAGACGAGUAGAAGGGCCGCUGGGGUGAGCGUCGAAGCCUGGGAAGCGAUUCUGGGUGGAGCCGCCCCGGGUGCAGAUCUUGGUGGUAGUAGCAAAUAUUCAAACGAGAACUUUGAAGGCCGAGAAGAUUA